Molecule: ribosomal RNA, 180 nt
Filed under: Candidatus Anderseniibacteriota bacterium
Lineage: Bacteria; Candidatus Anderseniibacteriota
Description: partial 23S ribosomal RNA
Rfam family: Bacterial large subunit ribosomal RNA
Source: RNAcentral
UACCAAGGGCAUAGCUGGGUAGCUACUCACGGAAAGGAUAAGCGCUGAAAGCAUCUAAGCGCGAAGCCAUCUUCAAGAUGAGGUCUAAACCUCCAGAAAGACUAUCUGGUCGAUAGGUGGUAGGUGGAAGUCCCGCGAGGGAUGGAGCCGAGCCAUACUAAUAGGUUAUUAUUCACUCUU